This 220-nucleotide unclassified non-coding RNA is filed under the name sea anemone metagenome. Its description in RNAcentral is "partial contains small subunit ribosomal RNA and internal transcribed spacer 1". The stretch from base 1 to 153 matches the Rfam family "Eukaryotic small subunit ribosomal RNA", at positions 1678 to 1831 of the family's 1831-position model. The record is from RNAcentral.
GCUCCUACCGAUUGAGUGAUCCGGUGAAUUAUUCGGACUGACGCAGUGCUCAGCUUCUGGACGUUGCGUUGGAAAGUUUCAUGAACCUUAUCACUUAGAGGAAGGAGAAGUCGUAACAAGGUUUCCGUAGGUGAACCUGCAGAAGGAUCAAGUUUGAACAACUUUUCGGCAGUCCGCUGCUCCGUUGCCGGGGCGGCGGCGCCAAUCAGGAGUCCUCACU